UCUUGGUCAUUUAGAGGAAGUAAAAGUCGUAACAAGGUUUCCGUAGGUGAACCUGCGGAAGGACCAUUAAAGAAAUUUAAUAAUUUUGAAAAUGGAUUUUUUUGUUUUGGCAAGAGCAUGAGAGCUUUUACUGGGCAAGAAGACAAGAGAUGGAGAGUCCAGCCGGGCCUGCGCUUAAGUGCGCGGUCUUGCUAGGCUUGUAAGUUUCUUUCUUGCUAUUCCAAACGGUGAGAGAUUUCUGUGCUUUUGUUAUAGGACAAUUAAAACCGUUUCAAUACAACACACUGUGGAGUUUUCAUAUCUUUGCAACUUUUUCUUUGGGCAUUCGAGCAAUCGGGGCCCAGAGGUAACAAACACAAACAAUUUUAUCUAUUCAUUAAAUUUUUGUCAAAAACAAGAAUUUUCGUAACUGGAAAUUUUAAAAUAUUAAAAACUUUCAACAACGGAUCUCUUGGUUCUCGCAUCGAUGAAGAACGCAGCGAAAUGCGAUACGUAAUGUGAAUUGCAGAAUUCCGUGAAUCAUCGAAUCUUUGAACGCACAUUGCGCCCCUUGGUAUUCCAGGGGGCAUGCCUGUUUGAGCGUCAUUUCCUUCUCAAACAUUCUGUUUGGUAGUGAGUGAUACUCUUUGGAGUUAACUUGAAAUUGCUGGCCUUUUCAUUGGAUGUUUUUUUUCCAAAGAGAGGUUUCUCUGCGUGCUUGAGGUAUAAUGCAAGUACGGUCGUUUUAGGUUUUACCAACUGCGGCUAAUCUUUUUUUAUACUGAGCGUAUUGGAACGUUAUCGAUAAGAAGAGAGCGUCUAGGCGAACAAUGUUCUUAAAGUUUGACCUCAGAUCAGGUAGGAGUACCCGCUGAACUUAAGCAUAUCAAUAAGCGGAG
RNAcentral lists this ribosomal RNA (878 nucleotides) under uncultured fungus. Its description in RNAcentral is "eukaryotic LSU rRNA". The stretch from base 432 to 585 matches the Rfam family "5.8S ribosomal RNA". The record is from RNAcentral. Lineage: Eukaryota; Fungi.